UACGGGGGGAGCAAGCGUUGUUCGGAUUUACUGGGCGUAAAGGGCUCGUAGGCGGCCAACUAAGUCAGACGUGAAAUCCCUCGGCUUAACCGGGGAACUGCGUCUGAUACUGGAUGGCUUGAGUUUGGGAGAGGGAUGCGGAAUUCCAGGUGUAGCGGUGAAAUGCGUAGAUAUCUGGAGGAACACCGGUGGCGAAGGCGGCAUCCUGGACCAACACUGACGCUGAGUGAGCGAAAGCCAGGGGAGCAAAACGGG
This 255-nucleotide ribosomal RNA is filed under the name uncultured bacterium. RNAcentral's name for it is "partial 16S ribosomal RNA". It matches the Rfam family "Bacterial small subunit ribosomal RNA", at positions 524 to 777 of the family's 1533-position model. The record is from RNAcentral.